This 253-nucleotide ribosomal RNA is filed under the name uncultured bacterium. Its description in RNAcentral is "partial 16S ribosomal RNA". It matches the Rfam family "Bacterial small subunit ribosomal RNA", at positions 524 to 776 of the family's 1533-position model. The record is from RNAcentral.
UACAGAGGGGGCAAGCGUUGUUCGGAAUUACUGGGCGUAAAGGGCGCGUAGGCGGCCUGUUAAGUCGAACGUGAAAUCCCUCGGCUCAACCGGGGAACUGCGUCUGAGACUGGAAGGCUUGAAUCCGGGAGAGGGAUGUAGAAUUCCAGGUGUAGCGGUGAAAUGCGUAGAUAUCUGGAGGAAUACCGGUGGCGAAGGCGGCAUCCUGGACCGACAUUGACGCUGAAAGCCGAAAGCUAGGGGAGCAAACGGG